This 455-nucleotide ribosomal RNA is filed under the name Uvarus sp. n. 2 BI-2011. Its description in RNAcentral is "partial 16S ribosomal RNA". It matches the Rfam family "Bacterial large subunit ribosomal RNA", at positions 1806 to 2534 of the family's 2925-position model. The record is from RNAcentral. Lineage: Eukaryota; Metazoa; Arthropoda; Insecta; Coleoptera; Dytiscidae.
AACAAAAACAUGUCCUUUAGAUUGGAAUUUGAGGUCUAACCUGCCCAUUGAGGAAUUAAAAGGCCGCAGUAUUUUGACUGUGCGAAGGUAGCAUAAUCAUUAGUUUUUUAAUUGAGAGCUAGAAUGAAUGGUUGGACGAGAUAUAUUCUGUCUUUAAAUUAUUUUUAGAAUUUAAUUUUUAAGUUAAAAAGCUUAAAUAUUUUUAAAAGACGAGAAGACCCUAUAGAUCUUUAUAUAAUUUUUUUUAUGAUUUUUAUGGAUAAUUUAUUUUUAUAUAAAAUUUUAUAUUUUAUUGGGGUAAUAAAAAGAUUUACUAAAUUCUUUUUGUAUUUAACAUUUAUGAAUGAAUUUAAUGAUCCUUUAUUAAUGAUUAUAAGAUUAAGUUACCUUAGGGAUAACAGCGUAAUUUUUUUAAAGAGUUCAUAUCGAUAAAAAAGUUUGCGACCUCGAUGUUG